GACGAACGCUGGCGGCGUGCUUAACACAUGCAAGUCGAACGGAAAGGCCCUGCUUUUGUGGGGUGCUCGAGUGGCGAACGGGUGAGUAAAAAGUGAGUAACCUGCCCUGGACUUUGGGAUAACUUCAGGAAACUGGGGCUAAUACCGGAUAGGAGUUCCUGCUGCAUGGUGGGGGUUGGAAAGUUUCGGCGGUUGGGGAUGGACUCGCGGCUUAUCAGCUUGUUGGUGGGGUAGUGGCUUACCAAGGCUUUGACGGGUAGCCGGCCUGAGAGGGUGACCGGCCACAUUGGGACUGAGAUACGGCCCAGACUCCUACGGGAGGCAGCAGUGGGGAAUAUUGCACAAUGGGCGGAAGCCUGAUGCAGCAACGCCGCGUGCGGGAUGACGGCCUUCGGGUUGUAAACCGCUUUCGCCUGUGACGAAGCGUGAGUGACGGUAAUGGGUAAAGAAGCACCGGCUAACUACGUG
Molecule: ribosomal RNA, 468 nt
Filed under: uncultured bacterium
Lineage: Bacteria
Description: partial 16S ribosomal RNA
Rfam family: Bacterial small subunit ribosomal RNA
Source: RNAcentral